Molecule: small RNA, 192 nt
Filed under: Trichoderma harzianum
Lineage: Eukaryota; Fungi; Ascomycota; Sordariomycetes; Hypocreales; Hypocreaceae
Also listed under: 1 other name
Description: Hypocrea lixii A. fumigatus sRNA Afu_182
Rfam family: A. fumigatus sRNA Afu_182
Source: Rfam by way of RNAcentral
UCAUGAACAACGCAAAUAACAACGUUCGGGUUCUUCCAACACUUACAAAAGUACCUAGUACGAGGUGCGCUUUCGAGCGUCUGCUCACGACUGCUGGGGACCUGAGGAACGAAAACGGAGAAGAAAGCGAGCAAUCUUGGGUGCGGUGCUCCCCUACAAAAAUGGAGAGGACCGCAAUGAUUGAGCGUACAU